AGUGAUUCAUGACUGGGGUGAAGUCGUAACAAGGUAGCCCUAGGGGAACCUGGGGCUGGAUCACCUCCUUAACGA
RNAcentral lists this ribosomal RNA (75 nucleotides) under Pseudoalteromonas luteoviolacea. RNAcentral's name for it is "partial 16S ribosomal RNA". It matches the Rfam family "Bacterial small subunit ribosomal RNA", at positions 1463 to 1533 of the family's 1533-position model. The record is from RNAcentral. Lineage: Bacteria; Pseudomonadati; Pseudomonadota; Gammaproteobacteria; Alteromonadales; Pseudoalteromonadaceae.